Suncus etruscus (white-toothed pygmy shrew) is the source of this 102-nucleotide small nuclear RNA. NCBI's taxonomy places the organism in Eukaryota, Metazoa, Chordata, Mammalia, Eulipotyphla, Soricidae. The record is from RefSeq and is a predicted model, not a curated record.
GUGUUCACUUCGGCAGCACAUAUAAUAAAAUUGGAAUGAUACAGAGAAGAUUAACAUGGCCCCUGCGCUAGGAUGACAUGCAAAGAAUGAUAGUCAUCUCUU